This 28-nucleotide non-coding RNA is filed under the name Homo sapiens (human). The record is from RNAcentral. Lineage: Eukaryota; Metazoa; Chordata; Mammalia; Primates; Hominidae.
UGCCGAAACACAUUGCAUUCAUAAUGGA